GUUAAAAAGCUCGUAGUUGGAUUUCUGUCGGUGAGUUGCAGUCCGGCCUCUGUGUUAGGUACUUGUUACGCCACCGGCAUCUUCCUGGGGACUGUAUCUGCUCUUCACUGAGUGGUGCAUAAUCCAGGACUUUUACUUUGAGGAAAUAGGAGUGUUUCAAGCAGGCAUGCGCCGUGAACACGUUAGCAUGGAAUAAUAGCAUCGGACCUCGCUCCAAAGCUGUUGGUUUCUUGGAACGAGGUAAAGGUGAAUAGGGAUUGUUGGGGGCAUUCGUAUUUAAUUGUCAGAGGUGAAAUUCUUGGAUUUGUUGAAGACGGACUACUGCGAAAGCAUCUGCCAAAGAUGUUCUCAUUGAUCAAGAACGAAAGUUAGGUGAUCGAAGACGAUCAGAUACCGUCCUAGUCUUAACCAUAAACUAUGCCGACUGGAGAUCGGGGGUCGUUAACUUUGUGACGCCCUCUGCAUCUUGAGAGAAAUCAAAGUCUUUGGGUUCCGGGGGGAGUAUGGUCGCAAGGCUGAAACUUAAAGGAAUUGACGGAAGGGCACCACCAGGAGUGGAGCCUGCGGCUUAAUUUGACUCAACACGGGGAAACUUACCAGGUCCAGACAUAGUGAGGAUUGACAGACUGAUAGCUCUUUCGAGAUUCUAUGGGUGGUGGUGCAUGGCCGUUCUUAGUUGGUGGAGUGAUUUGUCUGGUUAAUUCCGUU
RNAcentral lists this ribosomal RNA (708 nucleotides) under uncultured marine alveolate. RNAcentral describes it as "SSU rRNA". It matches the Rfam family "Eukaryotic small subunit ribosomal RNA", at positions 618 to 1329 of the family's 1831-position model. The record is from RNAcentral.